GACGAACGCUGGCGGCGUGCUUAACACAUGCAAGUCGAACGGAAAGGCCCUGCUUUUGUGGGGUGCUCGAGUGGCGAACGGGUGAGUAACACGUGAGUAACCUGCCCUUGACUUUGGGAUAACUUCAGGAAACUGGGGCUAAUACCGGAUAGGAGCUCCUGCUGCAUGGUGGGGGUUGGAAAGUUUCGGCGGUUGGGGAUGGACUCGCGGCUUAUCAGCUUGUUGGUGGGGUAGUGGCUUACCAAGGCUUUGACGGGUAGCCGGCCUGAGAGGGUGACCGGCGACAUUGGGACUGAGAUACGGCCCAGACUCCUACGGGAGGCAGCAGUGGAGAAUAUUGCACAAUGGGCGGAAGCCUGAUGCAGCAACGCCGCGUGCGGGAUGACGGCCUUCGGGUUGUAAACCGCUUUCGCCUGUGACGAAGCGUGAGUGACGGUAAUGGGUAAAGAAGCACCGGCUAACUACGUG
RNAcentral lists this ribosomal RNA (468 nucleotides) under uncultured bacterium. RNAcentral describes it as "partial 16S ribosomal RNA". It matches the Rfam family "Bacterial small subunit ribosomal RNA", at positions 28 to 507 of the family's 1533-position model. The record is from RNAcentral.